RNAcentral lists this unclassified non-coding RNA (220 nucleotides) under uncultured Frankiales bacterium. RNAcentral describes it as "contains 16S-23S intergenic spacer region". The record is from RNAcentral. Lineage: Bacteria; Bacillati; Actinomycetota; Actinomycetes; Frankiales.
UCCGAGUUGACCCCGGCAGUCUCCUAUGAGUCCCCGCCAUAACGCGCUGGCAACAUAGAACGAGGGUUGCGCUCGUUGCGGGACUUAACCCAACAUCUCACGACACGAGCUGACGACAACCAUGCACCACCUGUACACCGCCCUUGCGGACCCCGUAUCUCUACGAGUUUUCGGUGUAUGUCAAGCCUUGGUAAGGUGGGGAUGACGUUUACGUGCACUU